This 373-nucleotide unclassified non-coding RNA is filed under the name soil metagenome. RNAcentral describes it as "partial contains 5.8S ribosomal RNA, internal transcribed spacer 2, and large subunit ribosomal RNA". The stretch from base 1 to 121 matches the Rfam family "5.8S ribosomal RNA", at positions 35 to 154 of the family's 154-position model. The record is from RNAcentral.
GAUGAAGAACGUAGCGAAAUGCGAUAAGUAAUGCGAAUUGCAGAAUUCCAGUGAGUCAUCGAAUCUUUGAACGCACAUUGCGCCCUUUGGUAUUCCGAAGGGCAUGCCUGUUCGAGCGUCAUUAUCACCCCUCAAGCCCUCGGCUUGGUGUUGGACGGUUUGGUGGAGGCCCCCUCGGGGGCUCCUGCCCCUCCCAAAGACAAUGACGGCGGCCUCGUUGGACCCCCGGUACACUGAGUUCUUCACGGGACACGUAUCGGACACACGGGUUUACGGGACACGGUCUGCCUCCCCUCAGGGAGAAUCUUUCUAAGGUUGACCUCGGAUCAGGUAGGGAUACCCGCUGAACUUAAGCAUGUCAAUAAGCGGAGGA